Long non-coding RNA from Odocoileus virginianus texanus, 683 nucleotides. RefSeq lists it as uncharacterized. Lineage: Eukaryota; Metazoa; Chordata; Mammalia; Artiodactyla; Cervidae. The record is from RefSeq and is a predicted model, not a curated record.
GUCCUGCAGGAAACUAACACUCUGGGUAGAGUUGAAACGUCUUCCCCCCGCUACAGAAUUACCAUCUAACACAAGGCCACUUCUCAAGAUGAAGGAGGGAUUGAACUGUCACACCAGCGUGAUCAAUUAGAUGAUGGAGGAAAGAAGUAUUUGCUACCUGACUUUAAUCUACUCGGCAAGAAUGACUGAAUGGGGAUGGCAGAAUACGAAUCCAUUUGGCUGUUUCUAUUUGUGGAGUCAAUUGUGAGACAUCCAUUUAUCAUAGCUGUGGAAAACUAGCAGAAGGUCCAGAGAAAAGCCAUGGAAACGAUGAAGAACCAGGAAAAUGGAUUUCAGCUAUGUAUCCAGGAGAAGUAAGAUUCAACUUGACAGAGUCUAAGUCUUCAAGCGACGGUGACAAGGCACUUGUAGCAGACCUCUCUCCCACCUCCUUCAGAUUUCUCCUCUGGAUGGAUAUUCCUCCCCCCACGCUGACCCCAUUUGUUGUGUCUCUGACUUGAGUGAAAGCAGCAUGUGUAGUACCAACAAUGUCCAUCAUUCAACAGAAGUAAUGACAAGAUGAACGUCUGUGACCAAGUUAAUGCUUGCCUGCCAAUGACAGCUACUUCGUGGCUACUGCAUGGAUGAUGGGGAUAAUAAGAUGCCAGCUAUUAUAAAACAUAUUCCAAUUUCAAAGAUGUUAA